CACCUGGGUUGAUCCUGCCAGUAGUCAUAUGCUUGUCUCAAAGAUUAAGCCAUGCAUGUCUAAGUAUAAGCUUUAAACGGCGAAACUGCGAAUGGCUCAUUAAAACAGUUAUAGUUUAUUUGGUGAUCGAUUACUAUUUGGAUAACCGUAGUAAUUCUAGAGCUAAUACAUGCGUCAAGGCCCGACUUCGGAAGGGCUGCGUUUAUUAGAUACAGAACCAACCUAGGCUCCGCCUAGUCCUUGUUGGUGAUUCAUAAUAACCCGGCGAAUCGCACGGCUUGUCCGGCGAUGGACCAUUCAAGUUUCUGACCUAUCAGCUAUGGACGGUAGGGUAUUGGCCUACCGUGGCGUUGACGGGUAACGGGGAAUUAGGGUUCGAUUCCGGAGAGGGAGCCUGAGAAACGGCUACCACAUCUAAGGAAGGCAGCAGGCGCGCAAAUUACCCAAUCCUGAUACAGGGAGGUAGUGACAAGAAAUAACAAUACAGGGCAAUUCUGUCUUGUAAUUGGAAUGAGUAGAUUUUAAAUCUCUUUACGAGUAUCAAUUGGAGGGCAAGUCUGGUGCCAGCAGCCGCGGUAAUUCCAGCUCCAAUAGCGUAUAUUAAAGUUGUUGCGGUUAAAAAGCUCGUAGUUGGAUUUCUGCCUUGGGCGACCGAUCCACCUUUCCUACGGGAUUGGUCGGUAUCAGGUUUGACCUUGGCUUUUUCUUGGGAUUCGUGCUCACGUACUUAACUGUGCGUUGACCGUGUUCCAAGACUUUUACUUUGAGGAAAUUAGAGUGUUUCAAGCAGGCUUAUGCCAUGAAUACAUUAGCAUGGAAUAAUAGGAUAUGACUUCGGUCAUAUUUUGUUGGUUUCUAGGACUGAAGUAAUGAUUAAUAGGGACAGUCGGGGGCAUUCGUAUUUAACUGUCAGAGGUGAAAUUUCUUGGAUUUGGUAAAGACGAACUACUGCGAAAGCAUUUGCCAAGGAUGUUUUCAUUUGAUCCAGAACGAAAGUUAGGGGAUCGAGGACGAUCAGAUACCGUCCUAGUCUUAACCAUAAACUAUGCCCGACUAGG
Molecule: non-coding RNA, 1058 nt
Filed under: Perkinsus marinus ATCC 50983
Lineage: Eukaryota; Perkinsozoa; Perkinsida; Perkinsidae
Description: Eukaryotic small subunit ribosomal RNA
Rfam family: Eukaryotic small subunit ribosomal RNA
Source: Rfam by way of RNAcentral